RNAcentral lists this ribosomal RNA (441 nucleotides) under uncultured bacterium. RNAcentral's name for it is "partial 16S ribosomal RNA". It matches the Rfam family "Bacterial small subunit ribosomal RNA", at positions 338 to 795 of the family's 1533-position model. The record is from RNAcentral.
CCUACGGGUGGCAGCAGUGGGGAAUAUUGCACAAUGGGGGAAACCCUGAUGCAGCAAUGCCGCGUGAAGGAAGACGGUCUUCGGAUUGUAAACUUCUGUUCUUAGUGAAGCAUAAUGACGGUGGCUAAGGAGCACGCCACGGCUAACUACGUGCCAGCAGCCGCGGUUAUACGUAGGUGGCAAGCGUUGUCCGGAAUUACUGGGGGUAAAGGGAGCGCAGGCGGGAAGCCAAGUCAGCUGUGAAAACUACGGGCUUAACUUGUAGACAGCAGUUGAAACUGGUUUUCUUGAGUGAAGUAGAGGUAAGCGGAAUGCCGGGUGUAGCGGUGAAAUGCGUAGAUAUUCGGAAGAACACCGGUGGCGAAGGCGGCCCACUGGGCUUUAACUGACGCUGAGGCACGAAAGUGUGGGGAGCAAACAGGAUUAGAUACCCCAGUAGUC